UUUACAUUUGAGUGAGUUGGCGAACUUGGUGACGUAACACGUGGGAAACCUGCCCAGAAGCGGGGAUAACACCUUGGAAACAGGAUGCUAAUACCGCAUAACAACUUGGACCGCAUGGUCCGAGUUUGAAAGAUGGCUUUGGCUAUCACUUCUGGAUGGUCCCGCGGCGUAUUAGCUAGAUGGUGAGGUAACGGCUCACCAUGGCAAUGAUACGUAGCCGACCUGAGGAGGGUAAUCGGCCACAUUGGGACUGAGACACGGCCCAGACUCC
Molecule: ribosomal RNA, 271 nt
Filed under: uncultured Lactobacillus sp.
Lineage: Bacteria; Bacillati; Bacillota; Bacilli; Lactobacillales; Lactobacillaceae
Description: partial 16S ribosomal RNA
Rfam family: Bacterial small subunit ribosomal RNA
Source: RNAcentral